RNAcentral lists this ribosomal RNA (804 nucleotides) under Streptomyces violascens. Its description in RNAcentral is "bacterial SSU rRNA". It matches the Rfam family "Bacterial small subunit ribosomal RNA", at positions 46 to 866 of the family's 1533-position model. The record is from RNAcentral. Lineage: Bacteria; Bacillati; Actinomycetota; Actinomycetes; Kitasatosporales; Streptomycetaceae.
GCUUACCAUGCAGUCGAACGAUGAACCGCUUUCGGGCGGGGAUUAGUGGCGAACGGGUGAGUAACACGUGGGCAAUCUGCCCUGCACUCUGGGACAAGCCCUGGAAACGGGGUCUAAUACCGGAUAUGACCGUCUGCCGCAUGGUGGAUGGUGUAAAGCUCCGGCGGUGCAGGAUGAGCCCGCGGCCUAUCAGCUUGUUGGUGAGGUAGUGGCUCACCAAGGCGACGACGGGUAGCCGGCCUGAGAGGGCGACCGGCCACACUGGGACUGAGACACGGCCCAGACUCCUACGGGAGGCAGCAGUGGGGAAUAUUGCACAAUGGGCGAAAGCCUGAUGCAGCGACGCCGCGUGAGGGAUGACGGCCUUCGGGUUGUAAACCUCUUUCAGCAGGGAAGAAGCGAAAGUGACGGUACCUGCAGAAGAAGCGCCGGCUAACUACGUGCCAGCAGCCGCGGUAAUACGUAGGGCGCAAGCGUUGUCCGGAAUUAUUGGGCGUAAAGAGCUCGUAGGCGGCUUGUCACGUCGGUUGUGAAAGCCCGGGGCUUAACCCCGGGUCUGCAGUCGAUACGGGCAGGCUAGAGUUCGGUAGGGGAGAUCGGAAUUCCUGGUGUAGCGGUGAAAUGCGCAGAUAUCAGGAGGAACACCGGUGGCGAAGGCGGAUCUCUGGGCCGAUACUGACGCUGAGGAGCGAAAGCGUGGGGAGCGAACAGGAUUAGAUACCCUGGUAGUCCACGCCGUAAACGGUGGGCACUAGGUGUGGGCAACAUUCCACGUUGUCCGUGCCGCAGCUAACGCAUUAAGUG